RNAcentral lists this transfer RNA (71 nucleotides) under Rhipicephalus microplus (southern cattle tick). Its description in RNAcentral is "tRNA-Gly". It matches the Rfam family "tRNA". From Rfam's summary of the family: Transfer RNA (tRNA) molecules are approximately 80 nucleotides in length. Their secondary structure includes four short double-helical elements and three loops (D, anti-codon, and T loops). The record is from Rfam by way of RNAcentral. Lineage: Eukaryota; Metazoa; Arthropoda; Arachnida; Ixodida; Ixodidae.
GCGUCGGUGGUUCAGUGGUAGAAUACUCGCCUGCCACGCGGGUGACCCAGGUUCGAUUCCUGGCCGACGCA